GACAGAGGGUGUAAACGUUGUUCGGAAUUACUGGGCGUAAAGCGCGUGUAGGCGGUUAUGCAAGUCGGGUGUGAAAGCCCGGAGCUCAACUCCGGAAGUGCAUUCGAUACUGCGUAGCUAGAGUACUGGAGAGGAUGGUGGAACUCUCGGUGUAGAGGUGAAAUUCGUAGAUAUCGAGAAGAACACCGGUGGCGAAGGCGGCCAUCUGGACAGAUACUGACGCUGAGACGCGAAAGCGUGGGGAGCAAACAGG
Molecule: ribosomal RNA, 253 nt
Filed under: uncultured bacterium
Lineage: Bacteria
Description: partial 16S ribosomal RNA
Rfam family: Bacterial small subunit ribosomal RNA
Source: RNAcentral